AUGGAGAUCAUAGUCCGUGUCGGUUUCCCCACCACCCUCGUCCGCGCCGCCCUAGUCUGCAGGCGCUGGCUCCGCCACGCCUCGGACCUCGCCUUCCUCCGCAGGUUCCGCAAUCUCCAGGCGCCCCGCCUCCUCGGCUUCUACGUCCACGCCAUGUUGAAUCAGUCGGACCCAACUCCCCCACUCUUCAUCACAAUGCUGCCACAGUCCCACAAACUAAGCACUGUCAUUCACCGAGUAAACAUCAGCUUGGAAGCCUACAAGGGCAAGAAUAUCUACAUCACAGACUGCCGGCACGGAAACGUUUUCAUCCACUUGUAUGACGGCAGGACAUCCACAUACACAAAAGUAGUGCAUAAACCACUCUGCUCUAAUACCCCGCAAAAAAAAAAAACCACUCUGCUCUAA
RNAcentral lists this ribosomal RNA (408 nucleotides) under Triticum aestivum (bread wheat). RNAcentral's name for it is "partial small subunit ribosomal RNA". Lineage: Eukaryota; Viridiplantae; Streptophyta; Magnoliopsida; Poales; Poaceae. The record is from RNAcentral.